Molecule: long non-coding RNA, 328 nt
Organism: Mustela lutreola (European mink)
Lineage: Eukaryota; Metazoa; Chordata; Mammalia; Carnivora; Mustelidae
Exons: 3
Source: RefSeq, a predicted model, not a curated record
GUGUGCUUGAACGGUUGUUCUGGGUUCCAAAGAGUAUUAGUGACAACAAUCUUGUGUCUCAACAAAGCUUAGCCCCCAACUCAAGAGGAUGGCAGGGUUAGGCCAGAAAGACUAAAGCAGCGUACCAAGACUAAAGACCAAAUUGGGCACUGGAUAGAACAGCGAGGUGCCAGUCUUGGUACUUACAUAAAAGUGCCUGAUAAGCUCUGCAAAAUUCAGACUCAAGUGAAGACUAUGGAAAACAAAAGAAAUGGAAAACAUGCUCAAAAAACAAGAAAUCAAGUUAUACUUUUCAUAAGGCACCACCAAAAACCCUGGUAAAUUAGAG